RNAcentral lists this ribosomal RNA (774 nucleotides) under uncultured Neocallimastigales. Its description in RNAcentral is "partial large subunit ribosomal RNA". It matches the Rfam family "Eukaryotic large subunit ribosomal RNA", at positions 24 to 649 of the family's 3401-position model. The record is from RNAcentral. Lineage: Eukaryota; Fungi; Neocallimastigomycota; Neocallimastigomycetes; Neocallimastigales.
UAUGUGAUCGUCUCUCGCAUAUCAAUAAGCGGAGGAAAAGAAACUAACAAGGAUUCCCCUAGUAACGGCGAGUGAAGCGGGAAGAGCUCAAAUUUGAAAUCUUAAAGGGUUUCCCUUUACGAAUUGUAGUUUAAAGAAGUGUUUUCUGUUGAGGUUUUGGUAAAAGUUCUUUGGAAUAGGACAUCAUAGAGGGUGAGAAUCCCGUAUUUGACCUUUACUUUCAACUUUGUGAUACACUUUCAAGAGUCGGAUUGUUUGGGAAUGCAGUCCAAAAUGGGUGGUAAAUUUCAUCUAAAGCUAAAUAUUGGCGAGAGACCGAUAGCGAACAAGUACCGUGAGGGAAAGAUGAAAAGAACUUUGAAAAGAUGAGUUAAACAGUACGUGAAAUUGUCAAAAGGGAAGCGUUUGACACCAGUGUUGUUUUUCUGAAAAUCAAUUAAAGAACUGUUUAUGCUAAGUUGUUUAGACUUUAUCAGCUAUCUGUUUAGUUUUGAGCUUUUCUUUAAUGCACUUUUCAGUUAACAAGUCAACAUCAAUUUCUUUUGCUGUAAAAAAGCUUGAGGAAGGUGGCUUGAGAUUCGUCUUAAGUGUUUAUAGCCUCUUGCCUAUGCAGUCGGAGAGAUUGAGGUCUGCAGCGUAGAUCCUUCGGGGCUAAAUGCAUUUGUGCUAAGUUAUAGCAUUUUAUAGACAACUUGUUGACUAUGAUUUGUCUUGUAGCUUACUCGCUUAUGUUAUUUUACCUACGCUUAGGAUGUUGAGUAGCGACAUACGCAC